UGUUAGCGGCGGACGGGUGAGUAACACGUGGGUAACCUGCCUGUAAGACUGGGAUAACUCCGGGAAACCGGAGCUAAUACCGGAUAGUUCCUUGAACCGCAUGGUUCAAGGAUGAAAGACGGUUUCGGCUGUCACUUACAGAUGGACCCGCGGCGCAUUAGCUAGUUGGUGGGGUAAUGGCUCACCAAGGCGACGAUGCGUAGCCGACCUGAGAGGGUGAUCGGCCACACUGGGACUGAGACACGGCCCAGACUCCUACGGGAGGCAGCAGUAGGGAAUCUUCCGCAAUGGACGAAAGUCUGACGGAGCAACGCCGCGUGAGUGAUGAAGGUUUUCGGAUCGUAAAGCUCUGUUGUUAGGGAAGAACAAGUGCGAGAGUAACUGCUCGCACCUUGACGGUACCUAACCAGAAAGCCACGGCUAACUACGUGCCAGCAGCCGCGGUAAUACGUAGGUGGCAAGCGUUGUCCGGAAUUAUUGGGCGUAAAGGGCUCGCAGGCGGUUUCUUAAGUCUGAUGUGAAAGCCCCCGGCUCAACCGGGGAGGGUCAUUGGAAACUGGGAAACUUGAGUGCAGAAGAGGAGAGUGGAAUUCCACGUGUAGCGGUGAAAUGCGUAGAGAUGUGGAGGAACACCAGUGGCGAAGGCGACUCUCUGGUCUGUAACUGACGCUGAGGAGCGAAAGCGUGGGGAGCGAACAGGAUUAGAUACCCUGGUAGUCCACGCCGUAAACGAUGAGUGCUAAGUGUUAGGGGGUUUCCGCCCCUUAGUGCUGCAGCUAACGCAUUAAGCACUCCGCCUGGGGAGUACGGUCGCAAGACUGAAACUCAAAGGAAUUGACGGGGGCCCGCACAAGCGGUGGAGCAUGUGGUUUAAUUCGAAGCAACGCGAAGAACCUUACCAGGUCUUGACAUCCUCUGACAACCCUAGAGAUAGGGCUUUCCCUUCGGGGACAGAGUGACAGGUGGUGCAUGGUUGUCGUCAGCUCGUGUCGUGAGAUGUUGGGUUAAGUCCCGCAACGAGCGCAACCCUUGAUCUUAGUUGCCAGCAUUCAGUUGGGCACUCUAAGGUGACUGCCGGUGACAAACCGGAGGAAGGUGGGGAUGACGUCAAAUCAUCAUGCCCCUUAUGACCUGGGCUACACACGUGCUACAAU
RNAcentral lists this ribosomal RNA (1154 nucleotides) under Bacillus safensis. RNAcentral describes it as "bacterial SSU rRNA". It matches the Rfam family "Bacterial small subunit ribosomal RNA", at positions 90 to 1231 of the family's 1533-position model. Lineage: Bacteria; Bacillati; Bacillota; Bacilli; Caryophanales; Bacillaceae. The record is from RNAcentral.